This 324-nucleotide ribosomal RNA is filed under the name Triticum aestivum (bread wheat). RNAcentral describes it as "partial small subunit ribosomal RNA". The record is from RNAcentral. Lineage: Eukaryota; Viridiplantae; Streptophyta; Magnoliopsida; Poales; Poaceae.
AUGGAAUCCGGGAAAGAUGAAUCUGACGAGUUAUCGACGCUGAUAGAGGAUAUCAUCUCGCUGGAGAGGGAGCGCAAAGGCUUGCUUGGGAACCUUACUCCCACGAUUUCUCGCUCGGAGGACAUCCUCUCUGGAACAACAACAUGGAGAGCCGCUGGAAAGGGAUUCAUGGCCGACAACACAAUGUCCGAUCCUGUCAAGAAGAACACGGACUCGCCACAGGUUAAAGAACUCGUCGAUUCCAUCCUCCAAGACACGGAGGACUUGGGCCACCGGCUGCUAUCCAUGUCACAAGAUCUUUGGAUUUCCCAUGCUGCAGCUUAG